CUACGGGUGGCUGCAGUGAGGAAUAUUGCACAAUGGGGGGAACCCUGAUGCAGCAACGCCGCGUGGAGGAUGACGCAUUUCGGUGUGUAAACCCCUUUUAUAUGUCAAGAAAAUGACGGUAGCAUAUGAAUAAGCUCCGGCUAACUCCGUGCCAGCAGCCGCGGUAAUACGGAGGGAGCAAGCGUUACUCGGAAUCACUGGGCGUAAAGGACGCGUAGGCGGGAUAGAAAGUCAGGUGUGAAAUCCUAUGGCUCAACCAUAGAACUGCACUUGAAACUUCUAACCUAGAGUAUGGGAGGGGAAGAUGGAAUUAGUGGUGUAGGGGUAAAAUCCGUAGAUAUCACUAGGAAUACCUAAAGCGAAGGCGAUCUCCUGGAACAUUACUGACGCUAAGGCGUGAAAGCGUGGGGAGCAAACAGGAUUAGAUACCCGGGUAGUC
RNAcentral lists this ribosomal RNA (439 nucleotides) under uncultured bacterium. Its description in RNAcentral is "partial 16S ribosomal RNA". It matches the Rfam family "Bacterial small subunit ribosomal RNA", at positions 339 to 795 of the family's 1533-position model. The record is from RNAcentral.